AGGGUUCGAUUCUGGCUCAGGAUGAACGCUGGCGGCGUGCCUAACACAUGCAAGUCGAGCGGAGAUAGUUGAAGCCUAGCGAUGACUAUCUUAGCGGCGGAUGGGUGAGUAACACGUGGGUAACCUGCCCUGUACUGGGGAAUAACAGCUGGAAACGGCUGUUAAUGCCGCAUAUGCGCACGGAGCCGCAUGGCCCUGGGCGGAAAGAUUUAUCGGUACAGGAUGGGCCCGCGCCGGAUUAACUAGUUGGCGGGGUAACGGCCCACCAAGGUGAUGAUCCGUAGCCGACCUGAGAGGGUGACCGGCCACAUUGGGACUGAGACACGGCCCAAACUCCUACGGGAGGCAGCAGUGGGGGAUAUUGCACAAUGGGGGAAACCCUGAUGCAGCGACGCCGCGUGAAGGAUGACGUAUUUCGGUAUGUAAACUUCUAUCAGCGGGGAAGAAGAUGACGGUACCCGACUAAGAAGCCCCGGCUAACUACGUGCCAGCAGCAGC
Molecule: ribosomal RNA, 498 nt
Filed under: uncultured bacterium
Lineage: Bacteria
Description: bacterial SSU rRNA
Rfam family: Bacterial small subunit ribosomal RNA
Source: RNAcentral